AGUUUGAUCCUGGCUCAGAUUGAACGCUGGCGGCAGGCCUAACACAUGCAAGUCGAACGGUAACAGGAUAGCUUGCUAUCGCUGACGAGUGGCGGACGGGUGAGUAGUACUUAGGGAUCUGCCUCUGUGUGGGGGAUAACUAUUGGAAACGAUAGCUAAUACCGCAUAAUGUCUACGGACCAAAGCGGGCUUCGGCUCGUGCGCAGAGAGGAACCUAAGCGAGAUUAGCUAGUUGGUGAGGUAAAGGCUCACCAAGGCGACGAUCUCUAGCUGUUCUGAGAGGAAGAUCAGCCACACUGGAACUGAGACACGGUCCAGACUCCUACGGGAGGCAGCAGUGGGGAAUAUUGCACAAUGGGGGAAACCCUGAUGCAGCCAUGCCGCGUGUGUGAAGAAGGCCUUCGGGUUGUAAAGCACUUUCAGUUGUGAGGAAAGUUUAGUAGUUAAUACCUGCUAGAUGUGACGUUAGCAACAGAAGAAGCACCGGCUAACUCCGUGCCAGCAGCCGCGGUAAUACGGAGGGUGCGAGCGUUAAUCGGAAUUACUGGGCGUAAAGCGCACGCAGGCGGUCUGUUAAGCUAGAUGUGAAAGCCCCGCGCUCAACGUGGGAGGGUCAUUUAGAACUGGCAGACUAGAGUCUUGGAGAGGGGAGUGGAAUUCCAGGUGUAGCG
Molecule: ribosomal RNA, 671 nt
Filed under: uncultured bacterium
Lineage: Bacteria
Description: bacterial SSU rRNA
Rfam family: Bacterial small subunit ribosomal RNA
Source: RNAcentral